UACCUAUCGUCUCACUGGAUAUAGCCUCUCCAGGGAAGCGGAAGCUGAGUUUUUAGGGCUGAGAUCGUAAGCCGCUUGAACAGGAGGGGCAUUUUGCCGGUACGCAGUUGUGAACUGCGGAUUUUGUCCCAUAUUGGCGCAAAGUGGAAGAUCUAUUCAGCAUUAUAACUUGGGAAAUGAUAACAAGAUGUUAGUCACGAACUGUGUGAAAAUGAUUUGACGCAUUAAUCGUGUGGAUUUUAUGCUUAGCACAGCCAAUCUGAUAGGGAGUCGUUAUGGAUACCGAUUUGAAGAUGUCGUUGAUCACCACCGUUUGUACAUUAGCAAUGAUUAUUGUUUUCGGUUUUAUCGCAGCAUUGAACUGACUU
This 368-nucleotide small RNA is filed under the name Enterobacterales bacterium 8AC. Its description in RNAcentral is "STnc550". It matches the Rfam family "Enterobacterial sRNA STnc550". Lineage: Bacteria; Pseudomonadati; Pseudomonadota; Gammaproteobacteria; Enterobacterales. The record is from RNAcentral.